GACGAGGGACCUUUACUCCGACAACCACCCUUUACUAAGCCCAGAGCGCGAUGCUCGACCAGGGCAAGUCCUAAACUUUCCUUUUAAAUUUUCCAUUUUACCCCUUUUCCAUCACUCACGGAUUUAUACCGGUGCACUCAUCGAAAUACUAUGUUCUACUGUUGUCCCGUCCCGAGUCCUCAUGCAAUGAUAAAAUCAAUGAUAAAGGAAGAACAUGCAUGAAUA
RNAcentral lists this long non-coding RNA (225 nucleotides) under Ricinus communis (castor bean). Its description in RNAcentral is "long non-coding RNA (RCOM_LNC001716)". Lineage: Eukaryota; Viridiplantae; Streptophyta; Magnoliopsida; Malpighiales; Euphorbiaceae. The record is from RNAcentral.